This is a long non-coding RNA of Esox lucius (northern pike), 1100 nucleotides long. The record is from Ensembl. NCBI's taxonomy places the organism in Eukaryota, Metazoa, Chordata, Actinopteri, Esociformes, Esocidae.
GAGUGGAUACUGCAAGGAAUCAAAGUGAAAUAUCGCUCCUUCACUAAAAGGCGAUUAGCCUUCAGCAUUUGGUCAGCCAGAAAGCCACUGACAACUGAAAAAAGACCAGCAAGUAUUAAGGCCACAGAACCCUCCUCCCAUUCAAAAAGAACAGCAGAAGACUGUCAGACAAAGAUAACAUUGAGUCAUGUCUGAUAGUGAGACCAUUGAGCUAGCCGCUCUGGGCCGGCCGUUCGAACUGGGGAUGCUGUAUGACUGCCGCAGGGAUCUUCUCAUCCCAGAUGGAGGGUUGUCCAUUAUGGUUAACUCUCGCUGGGCACGGAUGUUGCAGUUCUUGCUAUGCACUGUUCAGCAGACCUGGAGCUACUGACAGUAAAGGUACAACACUUCUACCUCCCGUGGGAAUUCAGCUCCCAUAUUAUCACUGCAGUCUACAUACCCUCACUGGCGGAUAAAACAUGUGUGCUGGAAGAUAUGGAGUAAUAAACAGUCUAGAGGAUGCACACCCUGAGGCAGUUUUCAUUGUUGAUGGUGACAUUAACAGGGCAAAUAUGAGGAACUUUUUACCAAAAUACCACCAGCACAUUAACUUCCUGAUCAGACUCUUGACCAUUGUUAUUCACAAAGACGAAAUGGUUACAAACCUCCCCCGCCCAGCGUUUGGUAAGGCAGAUCAUACAUUGAUUUUGCUCCUCCCAUCCUACAGACAACGGCAAAAACAGGAUAAAACGUUUUUUCAGACAGUUCAAUGCUGGAAUGAGGGAUCCAUUACAGCUGUACAGGACUGCUUUGAAACAACAAAUUAGCAGUUGUUCUGUGAUGCAGCCAAUGGGAACAUUGAUGAAUACACAGACUCUGUCACUGCAUGUAUCUCCAAGUGCAUCGAUGAUGUCAUCCCGAGGGUCAAUGUCAGGACUUUCCCCAACUAAAAGCCCUGGGUUGAUGGUAAUGUCUGUGCUAUGCUCAGAGCAUGGUCUCCUGCCUAUAGCUCCGGGAACCUGGAGGCUCUGAGGAGAUCCAGAUAUGACCUACAGAAGGCCAUCAGAGAUAUGAAAAGAGACUACAGGGAUAGGUUGGAGUCUACCUACCACAGCCCGGAC